UCCGGUUUGUCACCGGCAGUCUCCCUAAAGUGCCCAACUAAAUGAUGGCAACUAGGGACAAGGGUUGCGCUCGUUACGGGACUUAACCCAACAUCUCACGACACGAGCUGACGACAGCCAUGCAGCACCUGUCUCUGCGCUCCCGAAGGCACCAAGGUAUCUCUACCAAGUUCGCAGGAUGUCAAGACCAGGUAAGGUUCUUCGCGUUGCGUCGAAUUAAACCACAUGCUCCACCGCUUGUGCGGGCCCCCGUCAAUUCAUUUGAGUUUUAAUCUUGCGACCGUACUCCCCAGGCGGUCAACUUAGCGCGUUAGCUACGCCACUAAAAGGUUUACCCUUCCAACGGCUAGUUGACAUCGUUUACAGCGUGGACUAC
This 376-nucleotide unclassified non-coding RNA is filed under the name uncultured Oceanospirillales bacterium. RNAcentral's name for it is "contains 16S-23S intergenic spacer region". The record is from RNAcentral. Lineage: Bacteria; Pseudomonadati; Pseudomonadota; Gammaproteobacteria; Oceanospirillales.